AUUGAACGCUGGCGGCAUGCUUUACACAUGCAAGUCGAACGGCAGCGCGGGCUUCGGCCUGGCGGCGAGUGGCGAACGGGUGAGUAAUGCAUCGGAACGUGCCCAGUAGUGGGGGAUAGCCCGGCGAAAGCCGGAUUAAUACCGCAUACGACCUGAGGGUGAAAGCGGGGGACCGAAAGGCCUCGCGCUAUUGUAGCGGCCGAUGUCGGAUUAGCUAGUUGGUGGGGUAAAGGCUUACCAAGGCGACGAUCCGUAGCUGGUCUGAGAGGACGACCAGCCACACUGGGACUGAGACACGGCCAAGACUCCUACGGGAGGCAGCAGUGGGGAAUUUUGGACAAUGGGGGCAACCCUGAUCCAGCCAUGCCGCGUGCGGGAAGAAGGCCUUCGGGUUGUAAACCGCUUUUGUUCGGGAAGAAAUCCUCUGGGCUAAUACCCCGGGGGGAUGACGGUACCGGAAGAAUAAGCACCGGCUAACUACGUG
This 484-nucleotide ribosomal RNA is filed under the name uncultured bacterium. RNAcentral describes it as "partial 16S ribosomal RNA". It matches the Rfam family "Bacterial small subunit ribosomal RNA", at positions 29 to 507 of the family's 1533-position model. The record is from RNAcentral.